UACGAAGGGGGCUAGCGUUGCUCGGAAUUACUGGGCGUAAAGGGCGCGUAGGCGGACAGUUUAGUCAGAGGUGAAAGCCCAGGGCUCAACCUUGGAAUUGCCUUUGAUACUGGCUGUCUUGAGUUCGGGAGAGGUGAGUGGAAUGCCGAGUGUAGAGGUGAAAUUCGUAGAUAUUCGGCGAAACACCAGUGGCGAAGGCGACUCACUGGCCCGAUACUGACGCUGAGGCGCGAAAGCGUGGGGAGCAAACAGG
This 253-nucleotide ribosomal RNA is filed under the name uncultured bacterium. Its description in RNAcentral is "partial 16S ribosomal RNA". It matches the Rfam family "Bacterial small subunit ribosomal RNA", at positions 524 to 776 of the family's 1533-position model. The record is from RNAcentral.